Molecule: ribosomal RNA, 440 nt
Filed under: uncultured bacterium
Lineage: Bacteria
Description: partial 16S ribosomal RNA
Rfam family: Bacterial small subunit ribosomal RNA
Source: RNAcentral
CCUACGGGUGGCAGCAGUGGGGAAUAUUGCACAAUGGGGGAAACCCUGAUGCAGCGACGCCGCGUGAGUGAAGAAGGAAUUCGUUAUGUAAAGCUCUAUCAGCAGGGAAGAAAAUGACGGUACCUGCGUAAGAAGCACCGGCUAACUACGUGCAAGCAGCCGCGGCAAUACGUAGGGGGCAAGCGUUAUCCGGAUUUACUGGGUGUAAAGGGAGCGUAGACGGCAGUGUAAGCCUGGAGUGAAAGGCGUAGGCUCAACCCCCGGACUGCUCAGGAAACUGUACGGCUGGAGUGCAGGAGAGGAAAGUGGAAUUCCUAGUGUAGCGGUGAAAUGCGUAGAUAUUAGGAAGAACACCAGUGGCGAAGGCGGCUUACUGGACUGUAACUGACGUUGAGGCUCGAAAGCGUGGGGAGCAAACAGGAUUAGAUACCCUAGUAGUC